Cyprinus carpio (common carp) is the source of this 1364-nucleotide long non-coding RNA. RefSeq lists it as uncharacterized. The record is from RefSeq and is a predicted model, not a curated record. Lineage: Eukaryota; Metazoa; Chordata; Actinopteri; Cypriniformes; Cyprinidae.
CGGUUGCAUUGUGUUUUGUCAAUUUAAUUCGGCAUUUUGUGAGCGCUUUGAAGAUGCUGUGCCUGUGUAACAACACUGCCAGUGUCGUGCCUGGUGUUAUCGUCGGCACUUCAAAAUAUGUGAAAAAUUACUGCACUUUGUUAUUCUUCUCGUUAUUUCCCUACAGUGCCUAAUGAAGCGGAAGUCUCGCACAUUCACAGAAAGCGGUGUACUUCCGCAUUGAAAAAAAAGGUGGAUAGGUAGAUUCCACAUUCGACCGCAAUCUUGGAACAGUCAAUGUGUCAUCACUCACUAUAAAAAUGAGUUUCACGAUACCAUGACAACAUCGUGCAGCCUCUCGGUUUCAAAACUGCCAAAAUAUAAAUUUAUGAAGAAAUCGGAUAAACUUUCACAGGCACUCUGAUUUGCCUCGGGCCUUCCAGUCUCCAGCUCUGCCUUGGAGUGAGAAUCCCCUGUCUCCGCCUCCAGCCAUUGAUUCCAGGACUCCACCUUGGUCCUCCGACCCAUCGGCUCUGCCUUGGCUCCUUGCUCACGUGGCCCAUCAUCCCACUGGCUCCACUAGGCUCCCUCAUCCCUCCGGCUCUGCCUUGGUCAGUCGUUGACCUUCCUCUUCUACGGGAUUCCACUCCUCCGGCUUUGCCUCAUCCCUCCAUCCCUCUGGCUCCGUCUGGCUUCUUCCCUCCAGCUCCACCGUUGUCCUCAGUCGCUCCAGCUCUGCCGCAGUCUUCCGGGUUCCUUGUUUCUGCCUCGCUUGCAUGAGCUGUCAGCUCUGCAUUGGCUCUCUGGACCUCUGGUGUCAACCUGGCUCUCCAUCUGCUCUGCUCCACCUGGGUCUCCACCUCCAGUGGCUCCAUCUCCAAAGCUCGUCCACAUGGUGUCGUCAAGGCCUUCUCCACCAUGCCUCUUCCCUCCCUCGACUCCACCAUGGGCAUCAGUCCUGGCUGUUCCCUGGAUCUCCACCUGGCUCCUCCCAAAGUCAGCUCCAACCUGGUCUCUCUAUCCACCUUCUCACCUGGUUCCUGCAUGUCCUCCACAUCCUUUUCCAGAGCCCCCUUCCUCCCACCUCAGAUGGACUCUUUGCAGCGCGAGGACGUGCCUUCUGAGAGAGGAAGCUACUGUCACAGUUAUGGACUUUUGGUUGUGUUUCACUGUUUCUGUUCUCCUGCCUUGAUUAGUUCCUUUGCCCUAGUUUCUGAUUGGUCCUGAUUUGUUUCUAUGGUUACUUAUGAUCUGCAACUGUCACUCAUUCUUUAGACUCCACUCUGUUUAGUCGCUGCUGGUUAUUUUCUUUACCAUUGUGUGUGCUACGCUUCUCCUGUGUGUAUUCCUUGUGGAUUUAUAAUUAAAAGACUAUUUUUGGAUUA